UUGCUGGAGUGUGCUAGAGCCCAGAGAAGCAACCUUGCAUCAUUUUCUCUCUCUCUCUCUAGGGUUUUUCUCUCUCUACAAAGAAUUCGCCGAUUUCGCUCGUUUUCGUCGUCGCGCGCGUUCUUCGCUGGUUGCGAGCGUCGCAGCGCCUUUGUGCACGUGCAAGAGAGCGUUUUGGAAGGAUUUUCGCAGCCUUGGACCAGUGGGGUGCUGGUUGGAAGCUUGAGAAGCAGGUCUUCGAGCUUCGUUGAGCUGAAUUUGUACCCUUAGAAGCUGGUUAGGAAGCUGCUCUAACCUAGGCGAGAAGGUAUUUGACCCUUGGAUCGCCUUCGUUUGGCAUUGGAGGGCCUUCCGGAAGCUUAACGUGAGGUUUGGGACUUUGUUGAGCUGAUUCUUGGGACGUCUUGUGACUGCUUUGAGCAUAGUACGAGAGCCUGUUACAGGAGAGGCUAGGGAUCGUGGCAAGGGAGUCGCGCCUAGCUAGG
Ananas comosus (pineapple) is the source of this 485-nucleotide long non-coding RNA. RefSeq lists it as uncharacterized. Lineage: Eukaryota; Viridiplantae; Streptophyta; Magnoliopsida; Poales; Bromeliaceae. The record is from RefSeq and is a predicted model, not a curated record. The transcript is spliced from 5 exons.